GUGUCAGCCGCCGCGGUAAUACGUAGGGUGCGAGCGUUAAUCGGAAUUACUGGGCGUAAAGCGUGCGCAGGCGGUCUCGUAAGACAGGUGUGAAAUCCCCGGGCUUAACCUGGGAACUGCGCUUGUGACUGCGAGGCUGGAGUGCGGAAGAGGGAGGUGGAAUUCCACGUGUAGCAGUGAAAUGCGUAGAGAUGUGGAGGAACACCGAUGGCGAAGGCAGCCUCCUGGUCCAGCACUGACGCUCAUGCACGAAAGCGUGGGGAGCAAACAGGAUUAGAUACCCUAGUAGUCC
This 292-nucleotide ribosomal RNA is filed under the name uncultured bacterium. Its description in RNAcentral is "partial 16S ribosomal RNA". It matches the Rfam family "Bacterial small subunit ribosomal RNA", at positions 505 to 796 of the family's 1533-position model. The record is from RNAcentral.